Molecule: long non-coding RNA, 1071 nt
Organism: Zingiber officinale
Lineage: Eukaryota; Viridiplantae; Streptophyta; Magnoliopsida; Zingiberales; Zingiberaceae
Exons: 4
Source: RefSeq, a predicted model, not a curated record
UUUUAUUUUAUUUUCUUCUCCUCUUUUCUUCCUCCCGAUCCCUUUCCGCCGCCUCCUCUCUGCUCGAUUCCUUUUCUUCCCCGACGCCUAUGCCACAAGGGAAUUAAUCGCCGACGGCUGAGCAUCCCUUCUCCUCCACCGAUUGCCCGAGUUCGCCCAGCCACACUCGAUCUCCCCUCUCUUGGUCGUGGACACGCUGGCAGCGAGCUUUCUUCCAUGCCCUAGAUUGCUGGAUCGCCGAUCCACCAUCGGCUGAGCGAGCUUCUUCUUCUUUGAUCGCCACCAUCGUUCACACCUUUUCUUGUUGUUGUUCGGUUCCGAGAUGCAAUAGACACAAUCUUCGAGGGAGGAGACACCAUGGAUGAUUGGGAGAGCCAUGGAGCCCCUCCAUCGCCGCCCUCUUCCUUAAUCCCAACUGUUUUGUGCUCUUUCUACUUUUGAUUUCUAGCCGCUGAUGCCUCAAUUACCAACUAAAGCUGAUCCUUCCUCUCCUUCUCCGUUUACGUUCGAGCUGGUGCUCUAGUGUCGUAGCCACCUGGUCGGCCACAAGAAGAUUGGCACAUUCUAGGUUGUAGAUUUGUAGCUGUGGCGACCCCAUGUUGUGCUGGAUUCGUGCCACCAUCGUAGAUUGGUGAUCCUUGAGGUGCUGAGGACUACUGGACAGAUUCACCGUCGCUGAUAGAGCCGAGAGCUAUUGAUUUGGGACUUUGAUUCGAGACGAGUAUCUCGACGUGGAGAUAGUUCAGAACGAUCUACAUUUAAGGUUAUCACAUAGAUAUGUCAUGUAGAUUGGAGUAUCUUGUUUGCUGAUCCCACGUCACAUUAGAAGACGAUUUACCUCGCUCUUGAUUUUUUUUUUUUUAUAUAUUCCUUAUUUAUUUAGCUUUGUAUUGGUGUUUAGCCAUGUGACUUUUAUUGUUUGGGUGUUCUAUUUUUGUUUAAGCCGUGCCAACACGCAUUGUGUUGUUUUGGUUGUAUGGGCUUCUCGUUUGUUUUUCCGUUGUGUUUUUAGCGCAGCCGUGUGAGCUGUUUAAUAUAUAUAACUACGUGGUUGUGUUUUUAGUACAGCUG